GGGGCUAUAGCUCAACGGAUAGAGCAGUUGCCUUCUAAGCUACUGAUGUGGUUUCGAUUACCGCUAGCCCCGCCA
RNAcentral lists this transfer RNA (75 nucleotides) under Prevotella sp. RNAcentral's name for it is "tRNA-Arg". It matches the Rfam family "tRNA". From Rfam's summary of the family: Transfer RNA (tRNA) molecules are approximately 80 nucleotides in length. Lineage: Bacteria; Pseudomonadati; Bacteroidota; Bacteroidia; Bacteroidales; Prevotellaceae. The record is from RNAcentral.